AUGGAGGGUCUUCUACAUUGGGAUUUCUCCCCUGGCCAAGCGGUGGAGACACAGGUGCGCAAAAGAUUUGGUACUACUCUUCAUUUCUCCCCCAUUGGAGAUGCAAAGGAGUUCUUCCUAGUGGUGGCUUUCUCCUCUGCCUCCUUCCCCCUUUCAGUUGAUUCGGUGGGUGUAGCUCUACAAUGUUGCAUUGGU
This 195-nucleotide ribosomal RNA is filed under the name Triticum aestivum (bread wheat). RNAcentral's name for it is "partial small subunit ribosomal RNA". The record is from RNAcentral. Lineage: Eukaryota; Viridiplantae; Streptophyta; Magnoliopsida; Poales; Poaceae.